ACCAACACCACAAACAUGGUCAAAAGGUCCAGUUAAGUGACAAUCAAAAUCAAUCAAAGCCACACCAAGAACAAAGUCCACUCCAUGUAGUGCUGUAAGAAGAGAAGAUUAACUAAAGAGACUCUACUGUAAUGUGGGACAUUUUUGGAUGUGGAGUUUUGGAGCCAGCCUCUGACAGACACUGGAGGAGCUGCAGUUUUUGGCAUUUACCAGGCCCCAGAGGCCCACAUAGAGGUCAAUCCACAGCACCUGGGCUCCAUUGCACGAGGAAAAUUCAGUGGCUUGCUCUAAAACCCAGAAGGCUAUAGACUCAAAGGGAUCCAUCGUGAAACUGCAGAGAAUUUUAUAUGUCAGAAACCAGCAGCACAGCUAUCCAAGACACAGAUUGGACAUUCUGUAUUUGAUUAGAAAUGAAGGAUAAUUUCCAGGUCAUCCAGAAUCAUUCUGGAAGAAAACUCUUUGUUUGUGUUUGUGAACAUUUGUUAAAUGUGCAGCACAUAAUCGGCACACAUUCAGGCUGAGUGGAUUCCUGCAGCCUCAAAUCCAGGCUUUGCUUUUUCUUUUUUUCUUUUUUUUUUUACAGCCGUCCCACCCUGCUGUCAGACUCUGGAGCAGGUAGCCUGCACUCCAUUAAACAAACACUGUGGCCCCUCACUUUUAUUUGACAUUUUAUUUGGCUGUGACAAACGAGCAGCAGUUGGAUUAUAACAUAAUUUGUCUCCUCUUUAUUACCGGCACAAAGGACACCAUUCAUUAAUUAUUCUGCCGUUGCCGCUCAACACUAACUGGAAAGGUCCCUCUUUGGACAGAUGGCGAGGACAAUGUUAUUUAUAUCAAUCAGUCCAAAAUGUUCAGCGAGGAUUACUAUUCCUUGGACCGCUUUGAUUUAUGUCUCUGCACCUCACCCCAUACCCAACCUCACCGGCUCCUGCAGGGACACUUUAAUCGAAUGGGAAUUGAAAACAGACUCGCGAGGCAGCAGGAAGAGGUACUUUUAACCUGCACAAACUCAGCGAGUCCGUCACUAGUACCUGCAUGGGGAUGAAUAGCAGCUGUAGAUCAGGGCCAGCGCUGGGCUGAGAGAGGUAAACAACAACAAGGCUGCAGGACGGGAAGACCAUCGCCGAACGCUGGCAAGACGUGGGCAAAAAUUCAGCCUGACAGAAGACAUGAGCUCUAGGUAAAAACCACCCAUUUUCCUCCCCUCCUCCCCCCGCGCCGCCUCCCCGAAUCGACAUUCUUCCAAACAUUUGCCCAUUGACUAGAAAAAUCUCCCCGGGCCCCUGAUGGUCCCUGGCUCGGUGUGAGGAUGCCCAGGCGCUACAGCAACGCUCAUAAAAACUCAAUUCAUCAAGACGAGUGUAAUUUGCUCCGAACGGAAAGCGCCACAAAAGGGGGCGAGCUUGUCAGCGAGACAGGUGGCUGGAGAUCUCGCUCUGAUACUGAGCGAUAUGAAUAAUAGAUUCUGCUAAAUGUACGCCAGGACCCGGGCUGUAAACACAGCUGCCUCCUUUCCCUUCCAAAAGAACAGCUUGGCUGGAUGAGAAGCCCGAGCGCUCUGCCUCCACCUGAGGACUGGGAGGUGGUGGUGGGGAGAAAGGGGGGCGAUUAACUAAUCAAAUGCAUGGGCUAAAUAGGAGGCAAGGAGAGAAAAGAGGAGACAGACAAAGGGAGGAGGUCGGGGGGGAGAGAGGUGUAAGUCAGAAGGUUUGGCCUUGCCGGUUUUGUUCGAGCACCGAGGAGCACAAAGGAUGCUGAUUAGUGGGAAAUUGAUGUCAAUCUAAACAUUUAAAGUAUGAACUCUGUGUGAGUGAACAAUGGACUGUUUUACUUUAAAAACUAGACUUUUAAUAUGAGCUGUCAGACCCCUGCAGUGUCCCGUGUUAUGUCAGCUUUGGAGCUUUCUUGAUUAAUCCCAAACUUCUCCCACACAGAGAUCCACAAACUGUCGAGUAAACAUCUACUAUUAAGUCAUAAAGUCAGAUAAUGAGCAGGAAUCCUCCUCCACAUUCAGUAGGUGUGCGUACCUUACAGAAGCAGCAGAAACUAGUGGGUCAUUAGUGCCAUUCACUGAGGAAAAUACAAAAAUAAAACAGGUGGGAGAGGCUGUAACAUCCAGAGAAUAAGAGAAAUUGUCAAGAUUAAAAUGAUAAAUUGAAGAAGAGAAAACUCAAAUGUGUGAGGACAAACUUGAAUAUUUUGCAAAAUUAUAACAAAAUAUUUCCAGAAAAAAAGGAAGAAAAACACAUUUUACAAUUUGUUUUAAUCACAUUUGAGUGAAAAUAAGACAGCAGCUUCCUUGCAACGAGGAAAAAUUGACAGUUGCCCGAGGAUUGUGUUAAAUUUCUUUACAUUUGACAACUGAUUACAAAAAUGUCAAAGAGAUGACUCAAUUCAGUUUAGUUUUAUUAAUAUAGCACAAAAUCGCAACAAUAGUCAACUCAAGGUGUUCUAUAAUGUAAGGUAGAGAGAAAACAGUGGUGAGGGAAAAACCCCUUUUAACAGGAAGAACCAGCCACAGAGAUGGUCCCAGGAUUGGUUGUUUGGGGGGAAUAAAAGGCAGACUGUGGAAAAGAGAGGGCCAGACCAGCGAAACUCCUCUUUCUGUUCGUGUAAAGAGGUUUAACUACAUACUUGAUCCGUGAAAAAAUAUAAUAUAAGGAGGAGAAAAAAGUGCAAUUUCAGUAAUACAUGUCAGUUUUUUCUGCGUGCUGCUUUGGGCUUAAUUGUAAGAAAAAAAUGAAAAAUUACAGAGAAACUUCUGUUAUUGUAAUUAUAAAAUGUAUUUUUUAUUAACUGACAAAAAGCCUUUUUCUUGAAUACUGUAAAAAUCAUAUAUUUAUACAUUACAUGGUGAAAAAAUUGGAACUUUCUGUUAUUUAAUUGUUUGUCUGUGCUGAUUCUGGACCCAGGGCCUUAUGUUUGACACCUGUGGUCUAGCCCCAUGCACAGCAUGAUUAAUCAUGUUUUUAUACACCUACAGCACAUUUACACAUUAACUUUAACUGUUUGUGGAAAUCACUUCAGUGUAGAAAGACUAAAACAGACAGCUGACAGUAUUUAAAUGUAAACUUUAUAUCUAAAUGGCCAGGCCCUGCAAUAU
Oreochromis niloticus (Nile tilapia) is the source of this 3103-nucleotide long non-coding RNA. Lineage: Eukaryota; Metazoa; Chordata; Actinopteri; Cichliformes; Cichlidae. The record is from Ensembl.